CUCAAACACCCACUACACAAGCAGCCUUACUAAAAGCCCAGUCUCAACUAAGAGACUUUGAACUGGCCAAAACCACAUACUUAUUACAAAAGACCAAACACAAAUACUUCACUUAUGGUAAUAAAGCCGGAGCAAAACUGGCUGCACAACUCAAACAAAAAUCAAUCGCCUCCAGGAUUGCCUCCCUUACCGACAGCAAUAGUUCAAAAAUUUUAGAUCCGAAACAAAUUGUAAACGAAUUUGCCAACUACUACCACAAACUGUAUAAUCUAAAAGAUGACGAGACAGUGCAAAUACCCUCCUCAACUACCAUUGACGCCUUUCUGGCAAAUAUUGCCUUACCAUCCCUUACACAAGACAACAUCCACCAACUCAAACAACCAAUAUCCCCCGAAGAAAUAGCCAAAGCCAUAGCAGACCUACCAAUGAACAAAGCACCAGGACCGGACGGUCUCCCGAACAGGUACUAUAAAGUAUUCUCCCAACAC
Non-coding RNA from Pelobates cultripes (western spadefoot toad), 488 nucleotides. NCBI's taxonomy places the organism in Eukaryota, Metazoa, Chordata, Amphibia, Anura, Pelobatidae. The record is from the annotation of a GenBank genome assembly.